UACGUAGGGAGCGAGCGUUGUCCGGAUUCAUUGGGCGUAAAGAGCUCGUAGGCGGCUUGAUAAGUCGGAUGUGAAACCUCCAGGCUCAACCUGGAGUCGCCAUCCGAUACUGUCAUAGCUAGAGUCCGGUAGGGGCCCACGGAACUCCUGGUGUAGCGGUGAAAUGCGCAGAUAUCAGGAAGAACACCAGUGGCGAAGGCGGUGGGUUGGGCCGGUACUGACGCUGAGGAGCGAAAGCGUGGGGAGCGAACAGG
RNAcentral lists this ribosomal RNA (254 nucleotides) under uncultured bacterium. RNAcentral describes it as "partial 16S ribosomal RNA". It matches the Rfam family "Bacterial small subunit ribosomal RNA", at positions 524 to 776 of the family's 1533-position model. The record is from RNAcentral.